CCAUCUCUUACUGACAUUGGUGAUUGAGCCUGGGAUUGGAAGCUUAACCCAUGGCAGUGGGAUUGGCCAUUUCAAGUGAAGGGAGCCAAUACAAUGGCAGGAUGACUUCCUUCGUUGUUCUAUCUUGUAUGAUGGCUGCCAUGGGAGGAGUCAUUUUUGGUUACGAUAUCGGAAUUUCAGGUGGCGUGACAUCAAUGGAAUCAUUCUUGAAAAAAUUCUUCCCGGAAGUGUACAGAAAGAUGAAAGAAGACACAGAGAUAAGCAAUUACUGUAAAUUCGAUAGCCAACUGCUCACCUCCUUCACAUCCUCACUAUAUCUUGCUGGCCUUGUUGCUUCCUUCUUCGCCUCUUCGGUCACCAGAGCGUUUGGGCGAAAGCCAUCAAUCCUUUUAGGAGGUGUUGCCUUCCUUGCUGGAGCUGCCCUCGGUGGUGCUGCUUCUAAUGUCUACAUGUUAAUAUUUGGUCGUGUCUUGCUUGGGGUUGGUGUUGGUUUUGCGAAUCAGUCGGUUCCACUAUAUCUCUCUGAAAUGGCACCACCAAGAUAUAGAGGGGCAGUGAACAAUGGCUUUCAAUUUAGUGUUGGCAUCGGGGCACUGUCCGCCAACCUCAUAAACUAUGGGACUCAAAAGAUAAAAGGAGGUUGGGGAUGGCGAAUCUCCCUAGCCAUGGCAGCGGUUCCCGCCUCAAUCCUAACUCUAGGUGCACUUUUCCUCCCAGAGACACCCAACAGCCUGAUUCAGCGUGCCAAUAACCAUGAAAGGGCCAAAGAUAUGCUGCAACGGGUUCGAGGCAUCACCGAUGUCCAAGCAGAAUUUGAUGAUCUCAUAAAGGCUAGCUCAAUAUCAAAGACUAAUGAGCACCCAUUUAAGAAUAUUAUUAGAAGAAAGUAUAGGCCUCAACUAGCAAUGGCAAUAGCCAUUCCAUUUUUUCAGCAAGUUACAGGCAUCAAUGUCAUUGCAUUUUAUGCUCCAAUACUUUUCAGGACAAUUGGACUAGGUGAAAGUGCAUCCCUCUUGUCUUCGAUUGUGACAGGGGUUGUGGGUACUGCAUCCACAUUCAUAUCAAUGCUUAUUGUCGAUAAACUUGGUAGAAGAGCAUUGUUCAUAUUUGGGGGUGUACAAAUGUUUGUGUCACAGGUAAUGGUUGGAGGUAUUAUGGCAGCUCAGCUGGGUGAUCAAGGCGGCAUAGGCAAAGGGUAUGCUUAUAUAGUUCUGAUUUUGAUCUGCAUUUAUGUGGCUGGAUUUGGGUGGUCAUGGGGUCCUCUGGGAUGGUUGGUUCCUAGUGAGAUUUUCCCACUAGAGAUUCGAUCAGCAGGGCAAAGUAUUGUAGUAGCAGUUAGCUUUAUCUUCACUUUCAUUGUUGCACAAACUUUCCUAUCUAUGCUUUGUCACUUAAAGUCUGGAAUUUUCUUCUUUUUUGGGGUUUGGGUUGUAAUUAUGACUGCUUUUGUGUACUUAUUGCUGCCAGAGACAAAGAAUAUGCCCAUUGAGAAAAUGGAUAUAGUGUGGAGAGAGCACUGGUUCUGGAAGAGAAUUGUAGGGGAAGCUGUUGAGGACAGUAAAAUAGAAAUAGCUUGAAUUAAUUUUCAAACUUUGUUUAUGUACAAAUUCAUUUGAGAACAAGAAUAAUAGAAUUUACUGUC
This 1642-nucleotide unclassified non-coding RNA is filed under the name Hevea brasiliensis (rubber tree). The record is from RNAcentral. Lineage: Eukaryota; Viridiplantae; Streptophyta; Magnoliopsida; Malpighiales; Euphorbiaceae.